CUAGCAUUAAGCAGAGAUAAUAAAAUAAUCUCACCGCUUUAAAACAAUUUUCUAAAGAAAGCAUCUUAUAAAAUGUUAAAGAGACAAAAAGACAAGGCUGUGCAUAUCAGGCAUAAAACUGGAUUUUUCAAUUUCCAGUGGCUUAGAGGCAUGAUGAGAUGGGAACACGGCCAAGAACUAAAUAAAAAAUUCAAGCAAAUUACAAUAAAGACCAUCAGCAAAGAGUUCCACUUAAUGAAUCCUGCUUUAUCUGUCUGUUGUUCUGACCUCAUUUCUCAGACCUGCAGGGGGAUCCUGAGAACAAAGCCUUGAUUAGCUCCAAGACAAUUUCAGGAACUACUCUAGAGCCUCUAAAUGAUAAACUUUAAAUGACAGUGUCUACCAACAACAGGACAUCACCCUCUAGUCUCUUCCAGCUGCCAGUUUCCCAUAGCAAAGCCAUCCAUUUCACAGGCUGGUUUACCCUGUAGCUGCAACACCACCAGUCUGGAAAGACCAACCUCUUGUCAGCAGAGUUCUUCCCUAUUACAGGAACCUGAUUCUGCCUUGAGCUGGGAGAGGCAGUGACCCAGCACAAGCUCUGUGUGUGCUUUAUACUCUCCUGGCUGAUCUUACUGUUUAUGUAAUUGCAUCUCAACUGCUGCUUUCUUAUCACAAAGUCAUCUAUUGAAAAUUCAUACUGAACCACAAAGCAAAUGUGAUAGGAACAAACAUGUCCAUAAUAUCCUAACCUGGAAACUGGAGCUGGAAAUCUAAUUAUAUUAACAGUAAUUCCCUCCUCAGGCUUUUAAACUAACCAGCGCUUUUAAAAAGUUAUUAUUGAUUAAUUUAAUUGCUCCAUAGGACAGCAAGAGCAUGGCAGGAAGGCUGGCAUGGAUAUGGAGUCCUCCAGAAUCACAGCUGCUGAAUUUUACACCUGUGUUUUGCUAAGGUUUAAUGAGCUCUGGUUCACUCUGCUUGCUCCUUGCCAGGCACAGCUGCGAGAUGCUGGCACAGGGUGCCUGGGGACCUGCGGCUGUCCCAGCCCUGGAAGUGCCCCAGGUUGGAGCAGUCUGGGAUCGUGAAGGUGUCCCUGCCCAUGGCAGGGGGUGGGAUAGGAUGAGCUUUAAUGUUCCUUCCAACGUAAACCAUCCUGGAGUUCUCUAAGUCUGUGCAGUGCUCACGAAGCAACAAAUCUGAAAUCAAACCCAUGGCGCUGCAGCCUGGCACAGACUGAUUUACCUGCUCAAGCAAAGCACGCUCAGAAAUUGGCUGGCCUGGAGCCUUCUCAGCAAACAUUGAAGCAACAAGCAAUUCACUGAAUACUGAUUGAUAGGGAAAAAACUUACAAAACCACUCCUUGCAGCACAGUAAAAAACAAAAUAUUGCAUCAAUACCAAUGAAACAAUGUCCCCAGAUGGGGGAAAACACUCACAUUUGGGAGAGCAAGAGGGAGAAGUGGUCUACAAAACCACUGUUCUGUGUCAGCCCCUCCCUGCAGCUCUGGGAACACGUGCCCUUCCAGGCCAUCACCUAACUCCUAUUUGUAAUCUGAUUUGAUGGAUGUAAUCUGAUCAGAUGGUCUUAUGCAGGUCAACCACAUUCCUGAUUUACAUAGCCAUGAGAAGCAUGGAAAACGUGAGUUUGAGGUGGUAAAUGUGGUUACUUUGAGCUGUUGGAGGAGUGAUCCAGUUGGUGUUCAGCUAAUUCCUGCACAACAGGGUCUCCUUUUCCUGUGGUUUCAGACUGCUGCACACAAGUCUCUGUCCUGCACUGAUUUUUCAAGCAUUUUUAGGAUAACAUAAUGGAGGUUUUGUUCACUUAAGACUAGCCAAAUGCUUUCUGUUUUCAUGGAGUCUUUAAUUCUGGGUUAAUUUCUCAGGAAUGAAAUAUAAUUUAAUUCUAUUUAAACCUCUUUCUGGCUUAGGGACAUCAGCAGAGUAUUAAUUGUACUCUUUAUUUUUGUCCAUCUCACUUAGCAACAGCAGAGUAACACUCACUUUGCUAUUACACCAGUAUGUUAUUAACUCUGUAUUUUUCUGAUAUUUUUGGAAUACAAACACUCAGGUUCUCUCCGUAUACACUACACAACCCCACACAGAUAAUGUAUAUGUGUAUAUAUACACUGUACACACACACACAACAUACACGUGUAUGGGCUUGGUAGUUUGAAGCUUUAACCACAGAAAAGAAUGUUUGUUCUUGGGAAAUACAGAGACUAUUUCAAAGGACACAAAGAACCUGAAAAAAUUCAUAAAACUAAAACCUGGAGAGGACAAAAAAUUAUCACAGUAAGAAUAAAAAACCAGCAUUCUUAAAGCAAAAAUAUGAUAUGUAAGCCUUGCAUGCACAGCUGAUUCUUUCCUCUAAAGAUUCACAGCUUUAGGGAGUUGGAGCUGCAUUUCUGCACCCUGGAGACCACCACAGCCAGGUUUAAAUGUCUCAACAUCCUUUGUAAGAACAUAGACAGAGAACAGGUCAGAGUGUGAGGACAUGUACUCUUUGCUGCCUCAAAGUGCCAAUUUCUCUGAGCUGAGAAAACUGGGUGUAAGGAGGAGGGGGAGAUUAGUGUGAAAAAAAGGUUUAAGAAUUUGCCUUAACAAGAUUUAGUGAGAUGUCUGCAAACAUCAGCAGCAAGCUGUAAUGAGGUUUGAAAGUCAUAAUAAAGAUGAAAAAGAGAGUGCAGCAAUAAAAACUAUAGCAACAAAAAUAGAGGAAAACCAACAACAAUAUCUGUUAGAGGUGAGAAUAUGCAGAAAACUUGCACAGAAAGCUGAAGAGUAGGAAAUAAACUUCUGGAGGCCAGAGGCCAACAAUAAAGUCAGGGAACAUUACAAGAUGAAGACAAGCUGUUGAUGCAGAGUAAGUGCAAAGGCUUCACUAAGUACUUGUGCUUUUGAAAACAUAGUGACUGAACAACCACACACAGAUCUGCAACAAAAAUUAUUGAAUAAAUAUAUAAGGAAUAAAAUAUUUUAAACUCAACAUUAUUAGCUAGCUAAUGCUCAUUACAAGAAGUCUGGAAUACUGAGGAAAUUUCAAAACAUUAAAAGAAAGUGCUAAUAUAAUGGCAAUAUUUAAGGAAAAAGUGUUGACCCAGGUAACUCUCCACCAGCCAGGUAAAAUAACAGAAAAUUGAGACAGGAUUUGAGCAAUAAAGAAUUAACGGAUGAAAAUGUAAUUACUGAUGUUACAUAAAAUAGGUCAUGCCACAAAAACCCAAUUUCAUUGUUUGCAGUGAUUACAAAUUUGGUUGUUAAAGCAAUUGCACAGAUGCAAUGUCUUUGGUUCCAUCUGUGCAGAGCUCCCCUGUCAGGAAGGUUUAGAGCUGUCAUCCCUGUGUGGGGAUACUGAGUGCGGGCAAUUAUCAACCACUGGAGCAGUUGGUUUAAUCUCAGUGGUACCUUUAUGCACUGCAAGGUUUUUACCCAGCCUCUGAACACUCUGCACUGUACUGGGGAAAUACCUGACCAGGUAUUAAGAGUGAAAAUUCAUUUAUCUGGAAAGGCAAUAAAUGACUCUGAGUGGAGCUUGGGGCCAAUGUGAGUGCUGCUUAUCAGCUCAGCCCCAUGCUGAUAUGGUCACAGAACCUCCUGGCUGCUGCCUUUCCCUUGCUGGCACUGUUAUCCUGCCCAUCAAAAGGGUGGUAUUGAUGUAUAUUCAGUCAUUUACACAAACUGUCAAGCUGGCAAAAAAGCUCCUGGAUUGUCCUUAUGGCUGUGACCAUGGAACAUUCAUUACUGAGCUCUCUGAUGGGAGUGAGAUCCCAUAAGCUACAGGGAGAAGCAAGACAAAAGACUGUGCAGGACAACAAAGUCCAGUGUCACAAUUUGUGAGUGCCUGAGGCUUCUUCCAUGCAGUUUCCUAAAAUCCAUCAUCCACAGUCUGAUACUUAUGGAUCUGUUUCUUUGGUUACCCUCCUGCUGACCUGCAGAGACUCAGUGAUAGAAAUUUUUAAUGUGCUUUUAUAGCCCAGCUUUGCAGCCCUGUUCUGGAACAGCCAGUUACACUGUUAAUUAUUUAUCUUUAACCUUUCUGUUAACCAAACCAAUCCAUUCCCUGACAUCAGUGAUUUUACUCUUUCAUUAAGUGAAUGAUGGUGUGCUGAUGUUCUACAGGAAGUGCUUCAAGUGAUAUCUGUAAAUAGAAUUUAGUAAUUAUAAAAACCUUGGGUUCAUUCCCCAGGAGUCUCCGUAAUGGGCUACAGAAAUUCAGUGCAUACCAGAAGCUCGUAUGUAACAGUAAUUUAAUAGGAUUCUCUGUCACUGAUCAAUGCCUAAAAUAAAAGGAGGAACAGUCAGAAGUUAUCAGACAUUAUUCCUGCUCACUCUGCCCCUGGUAGUGGUACAACACAAAGAAAACUUUGUGAUCCCAUGAGCAGGUUACUUACAGAGCAGGCCCACUCUUAUUUCCAUGAAAUAUGCAGCUAUAGAUAGUAAAGUAAAAACAUGUCCACACUUGCAAACAACCAAUAAUUGGAAGCUCUGCUGAUGAAAAACAGACAAAAGCAAUCAGAUUCUGAAAGAUGAGUAUUCUGGUAGAGGAAUUAUUGCCAACUCCAUCCAGUUCCAGCCCUCCACUGAUAAAAGGAAAUAAGAUCCUGAUAUGCUGCCAUAGAAACAAGUGUUUUUGCCAGGUUUUGCAUUUAAACAGCCUGUGGCUGCUGAAUUUUCAAAGCUAUUCUGCCUAUUCGAGUCUCUGUAACUGCUUGAAACACAGCUCUCAUCUCUCAAAUUUAUAGAUUCACAGGCUGCUCUUCUCUUUCUUUCCUAGGAUUAGCAGCAGCAUUUCCUAUCAACCACAGAUUAAAACAGCAAAUCUCUUUGUUGCAUAUCAUAUGCCAGCAAUCUCCAUUUAUGGUCUGAAAAUGCUUCAUAAUCCAAUUUGCUGUUUGGCUCAGAUGAUAGCGCCCUUUGGAUUUGGUUUCAUUUCUUUGGAAAGUCUAGAUAUUUGUUAGUCUAAGAUACACAAUCACUGUGCUGAGGGCAAAGCAAAAAAAAAACAAACAACAAAUCGGCACCAAAGACAAUCCAGAGCCUCCUGCAGUAUUGUCAAGGAUGAACAGUACCAACCCAGUAGCAUAAAAAUGCUAAAGGUAAAACUCUGCCCCAGGUGUGACAGAAUAGAAGAAGUAAAUGCUCAAUAUUUGUCUUUACAGAACUGAAUUUUCAAUCCACCUUUAUGUUUAAAAAAAUAGGAUAUUUACUUUAAAAAGCUACUAAAAUGUAGUAUUACAUAUAUUUAUCAAUUUUAACAAAGAUCAAACAUAUUUGUAUUGUAGUCUAUAAAUAUUUUAGUAUAAAUUGCUUAAAAUAUUGAAAAUCCGGUUCUGAAAAGUAUACUUCCUCAGUGGAACCUAACUAUAAGUGUGUAAAACUCAAGUAAUGUGUUUUCCUCUUGUAAUCUUCAAAAGUUCUCACUGGUUGAGUUGUCCUAAAAACUACCCUUCCAGUCCUGAUCCCACAUCAUUUGUCUGUUCCAGACAAAAAUAGGGCCUACAAUGCCCCAAAAUUCUGCUGCUGACUAGUAACAGAGUAAAAUUGUCAUGAUCCUGUUUUCUAUACCUCUAUAAGCAAUUAUAUUUUACUGUAGCAAAGUGAACUCUUACUUUUUGAUUCUAUUAAGUCAGCAAAUUGAUUUUGUGAGUCCUGCAGCUGAGCCUUGAUGUCUCCUAUUAAAUCAUCUUUUUCAUCACUCUUUAUGGUUAGAGCUGAAAUCAAACAGAAUAAGAAUAGCAUUAUAAUGAAGGAAAAAGGACAGAUUCUACUUUCAGUUGUCCCUGUGUCUAAUAAGCAGAAUUCAAGUUAAAUAAAGUGGCUGGUCUUAGCCAAGUAUUGAUCAAGUCUUGGGAAAGUUCUCCAAAAUCAAAACACAAAUUCCAACAGAAUUAAAAGCAGAAUUGAAGAGCAUUUACGUUUGCUGGACUUCUCUGUGAAGUGACCACAGAAAUCUCAAAGUAAUGCUUCUAAAAGAGAGAAAAACCCCAUAAUAUGUGUCACAGGAAUGCACAAACUUCCUGGGCCUGAGGAUUAAUAAUGUAAUGACCUUUACAAUAUAACAGUUAAACAUUCCUGUUCAUGCCAGCACUGUUGUCAGCACAAAAAAAUGCUUCAUAAAAAUAAAUUUGUAUUACUUACUCAUCUUCCAGUUUUAAAGUGAGUUUUUCAUGUUCAAACUAAUUUCAAAGUGAACAAAUAGGAAACUACAUUGUUAUUGAAAAAUAUCCUAGAAAUAAACUUUUGUUUCUCAAAUCUCGCAUGGAAAAGUAUUUUUGUUCAUCAGAAGACAGAAGUCUGAUUAAUCUGAUAUUCCAUGCUGAGUCAUCUUUUGCAUGAAAGGAAGAAUAAAAAUCAAUAAUUUACCAGCAACUGAAACACUUGCAGUUUCUUCACCCACACAUUCACACAGGACAGGUGCACACCCCUGCUCAGAAUAAUCAUUUUCUCAUUGUAAAAAUCAACAUGCAACAUUCUUUAGUAUUUAAUUGUAUUAGUAAUAUUGUCAUGCUAAAUCAAGAAGCAUUUUCUCUUUGGUUCAUCUGUUCAGUGUAUAUUGUACUAUCCUGGCCUGCAGCUCUUGAAUGUCUUUAUGCUGUGCUUCAAUAACCUUUCUAUUUUCUUGCACUUUCUUUCUGGUUUAGUUCUGAUUCCACAGCCAGUUUCCACUGCUUGAUCUUCUCAGUGUCUUUGUAGAGUUUCCAGUACAAUUCAUUCAUUAUUUCUACACUCUAUUAAAACAAGUUCCACAAUUUAAUCUCAAAUGCUGUUUAGUUAAUAAUGUUAUAAAUACCUGUUUAUCUCUUCAAAACACCACAAGAGUAAAUUCUUUUCCACAGAGGAUGGAACAUGAUUAGGAACAUGAUUUGUACAUGAUUAAGAACCAAGGUUUGACUCUUGGUGCAGCUGCUGUGUUUGAAGGAACAGACAUUGCAGGACAAGGAGGAGACAAACACAAGUGGAAAAUCCCCCAGUGCCUUCAGCCAUGCCCAGAGAGAAGUGAAAUCCGAAAUCCACGGAAAUCAGCACUGGGGCGUGGGACGGGCAGGGCUGGGGCAGGGCUCUGGUUCAGGUGUGAUGUCCCCACAGCCCCUGGGCUUGGCUGCACCACACUAACGCUGCAGUUAGUCCUCAGGGAUAGGAAAAUCAGGAGGAGAAUGGCAAGAAAUAAGUGCUAUUUUGUAGCAGCAAACAGCAUUUUGUAUCUGGGCAACACAGAAGUACUGAAAAGAAUGAGCUUUGCUGAGCUGUAGUGAAGCAGUUGGUGAAGACACUGUGAGAAGAAUUAAAUUCUAGAGAAACUAUUCCACUAAAUGCAUUGUUUAUAGAUAAUGCCAGACAGUGCAACUGGGAUAAUCUAUUUCAUUUUUCCAAAGAAUACUUUGGCUUCAAUCCUUCUACCUUUCAACAGACUAUUCAAAACCAAUUUCACAAAGAUAUUUAAGUGCCUAAAUCUUAUUCUGAUUAAAACUUACAGUUCUCCCUGGCACUUUAAAAGAAAAACAAACCAAACAA
Long non-coding RNA from Taeniopygia guttata (zebra finch), 7490 nucleotides. The record is from Ensembl. NCBI's taxonomy places the organism in Eukaryota, Metazoa, Chordata, Aves, Passeriformes, Estrildidae.